This 944-nucleotide long non-coding RNA is filed under the name Anser cygnoides (Swan goose). RNAcentral's name for it is "lncRNA (ENSACDG00005008182.1)". Lineage: Eukaryota; Metazoa; Chordata; Aves; Anseriformes; Anatidae. The record is from RNAcentral.
CUGGUUAGAAAAGUCUCAGGGAUCAGAACAAGUGACGAAGGUCGGGACCGAAAUACGUUCAUUUUUAAGGAUGCAAUAGGAAGCUUGAUCUUCAUUUACUAAGAGCAUAGGUCACUGACUUUAUCUGCUCUGGACACAGAUAUCUGGUAUAUGGCAAUGAGAUUGCCUUAAAAGGAAUGCAAGUAGAAUCUGCUUUUUACCCAAAAUAGUGCUCUUUCUUUUUCAAGAAUGUUGAAUUAAUUCAAACAUUAAGAACAGCUAGAAUAAACAAGCACGCCAUUUAUUUAUUAUUUUUUUAAAAUCUAUUUCAUUUUCUGUCAGAGCUAUUCAUAUCAUCAUCACCUAGGAUACACUGCAAAGAUGCAUCUGCUCAUAGUUCUAGCUCAGACCAGGUGGGAAUUGUUGCAGAAGUUUGGAGGAUAGGAUUAUCUUCACUACCCCACUAACAACAGCUGUUCUCUCUUGUUUUCCCUCUUCCUUUCAUUCUCUCUCUCUCUUUUUUUUUUUUUUUCUUUUUCUGUUUUAAUGGUCGUUUGCUUUUUUUCACUGAUUAUCUGACCAGAGCUUCAGAUUUAAUGUGGGUGACAGCAUGCACUAAACUAGUGCUCUAUCAGUACAGUCACAAGCGACUCCUCCAUAAGGCAAGCACUGCAUUUCAUGGGCUUUAACAUUAGCAUAUGCUCACAAUUCACUGUCAUUCAAACAAUUUUUUUUUCAUGAAAGGAACCAUUACAAGGAACGUUCAGAUUUUUCAAGCUUUUGUGGGAUGGAAGAAACACUUUCUGCAGUGUGCCUACCUACUCUUCAGUUCAAGGACUCCAGUUGCAAAACUUCCUGAUAAUCUUUCUGACUUAGCAGACCUUGGGAAGGAUUGGAUUUCUUUCAUUUUUGCAACUUUUAAGUACUUCAUAAGAAUAGUACUACCCAUCCUCCUGCUGCUUUAG